CAACAGGGAUUGCCUCAGUAACUGCGAGUGAAGCGGCAAAAGCUCAAAUUUGAAAUCUGGCCCGUCUCUUGGCGGCCCGAGUUGUAAUUUGGAGGCGCACUUUCGGAGCGGGCGCCGUCCCAAGUUCCUUGGAACAGGACGUCGCAGAGGGUGAGAAUCCCGUGCCUGGAUGGCCGCGCCGCUCCAUGUGAGGUGUGUCCGACGAGUCGAGUUGUUUGGGAAUGCAGCUCAAAGUGGGUGGUAAAUUUCAUCUAAAGCUAAAUAUUGGCGAGAGACCGAUAGCGCACAAGUAGAGUGAUCGAAAGAUGAAAAGCACUUUGAAAAGAGAGUUAAAAAGUACGUGAAAUUGUUGAAAGGGAAGCGCUUGAGACCAGACUCGGCCGCCGGCGAUCAUCGGUGCUUCUGCGCCGUGCGCUCGUCGGUGGCCGGGCCAGCAUCGGUUCUGGCGGCGGGAAAAAGGCCCGGGCAAUGUGGCUCCUCUCGGGGAGUGUUUAUAGGCCCGGGUGUCAUGCCGCCAGCCGGGACCGAGGACCGCGCUUCGGCUAGGAUGCUGGCGUAAUGGUCUUAAGCGACCCGUCUUGAAACACGGACCAAGGAGUCUAACAUCUAUGCGAGUGUUCGGGUGGAAAACCCUUGCGCGUAAUGAAAGUGAGCGGAGGUGGGAACCCCUCCCGGGGUGCACCAUCGACCGAUCCCGAUGUCUUCGGAGGGAUUUGAGUAGGAGCAUAGCUGUUGGGACCCGAAAGAUGGUGAACUAUGCCUGAAUAGGGUGAAGCCAGAGGAAACUCUGGUGGAGGCUCGCAGCGGUUCUGACGUGCAAAUCGAUCGUCAAAUUUGGGUAUAGGGGCGAAAGACUAAUCGAACCAUCUAGUAGCUGGUUCCUGCCGAAGUUUCCCUCA
Molecule: ribosomal RNA, 899 nt
Filed under: Jafnea fusicarpa
Lineage: Eukaryota; Fungi; Ascomycota; Pezizomycetes; Pezizales; Pyronemataceae
Description: eukaryotic LSU rRNA
Rfam family: Eukaryotic large subunit ribosomal RNA
Source: RNAcentral